CCCUUAGAUGUUCUGGGCUGCACGCGUGUUACAAUGGUCUUCGCAAACGGAUGCAUUCUCGAAGGAGAAUGCCAAUCUUGGAAUCUAUGCCUUGGUCGGGACAGUUGCUUGCAAUUUUUCGACUCGAACCAGGAAUUCCUUGUAAUCGUGAUUCAUCACAUCACGAUGAAUACGUCCCUGCCCUUUGUACACACCGCCCGUCGCUCCUACCGAUCGAAGAGUUAGGUGAAUUGUUUUGAUCGAUAAGAUUUGACUAUGGUCAACUCUCGUUGUGAAAUUCUGUGAAUCUGACUGUUUAGAGGAAGGAAAAGUCGUAACA
RNAcentral lists this ribosomal RNA (319 nucleotides) under uncultured eukaryote. Its description in RNAcentral is "partial 18S ribosomal RNA". It matches the Rfam family "Eukaryotic small subunit ribosomal RNA", at positions 1470 to 1796 of the family's 1831-position model. The record is from RNAcentral.